RNAcentral lists this ribosomal RNA (453 nucleotides) under uncultured bacterium. RNAcentral's name for it is "partial 16S ribosomal RNA". It matches the Rfam family "Bacterial small subunit ribosomal RNA", at positions 341 to 792 of the family's 1533-position model. The record is from RNAcentral.
ACGGGAGGCAGCAGUGAGGAAUAUUGGUCAAUGGGCGGAAGCCUGAACCAGCCAAGUCGCGUGAAGGAUGAAGGUAUUAUGUAUUGUAAACUUCUUUAGCAGUGGAGUAAUAAGGGGAUCGUGAUCCCUGAUGCAAGUACACUGAAGAUAAGGAUCGGCUAACUCCGUGCCAGCAGCCGCGGUAAUACGGAGGAUCCGAGCGUUAUCCGGAUUUAUUGGGUUUAAAGGGUGCGCAGGCGGCUUUUUAAGUCAGCGGUAAAAUCGUGGGGCUCAACCCCAUCCUGCCGUUGAUACUGGAGAGCUUGAUUGCGGUUGAGGUUGGCGGAAUUCGUCGUGUAGCGGUGAAAUGCAUAGAUAUGACGAAGAACUCCGAUUGCGUAGGCAGCUGACCAAUCCGCAACUGACGCUCAGGCACGAAAGCGUGGGGAUCGAACAGGAUUAGAUACCCUGGUA